GGCAACGUUCAUAUCACGUUGUAAUUACCAGUUCUCGUCCGAUCACUGAAGUCAAGCAACGUUGAGCACAGUUAGUACUUGGAUGGGUGACCGCUUGGGAAUACUGUGUAAUGUUGUCC
This 119-nucleotide ribosomal RNA is filed under the name Solenopsis invicta (red fire ant). Lineage: Eukaryota; Metazoa; Arthropoda; Insecta; Hymenoptera; Formicidae. The record is from RNAcentral.